AGGGUGCCGAUACAUGUGAGAAAGCAUGAUGAAGUGCCCUCUAGGGUGCUGAUACAUGUGAGAAAAUACAAU
Molecule: non-coding RNA, 72 nt
Organism: Pangasianodon gigas (Mekong giant catfish)
Lineage: Eukaryota; Metazoa; Chordata; Actinopteri; Siluriformes; Pangasiidae
Source: the annotation of a GenBank genome assembly